RNAcentral lists this ribosomal RNA (254 nucleotides) under uncultured prokaryote. RNAcentral's name for it is "partial 16S ribosomal RNA". It matches the Rfam family "Bacterial small subunit ribosomal RNA", at positions 524 to 776 of the family's 1533-position model. The record is from RNAcentral.
UACGUAGGGGGCGAGCGUUGUCCGGAUUUAUUGGGCGUAAAGAGCUCGUAGGCGGUUCGGUAAGUCGGGUGUGAAAUCUCCACGCUCAACGUGGAGGGGCCACUCGAUACUGCCGUGACUCGAGUCCGGUAGAGGAGUGUGGAAUUCCCGGUGUAGCGGUGAAAUGCGCAGAUAUCGAGAGGAACACCUGCGGCGAAGGCGGGUAGCUGGGCCGACACUGACGCUGAUGCGCGAAAGCCAGGGGAGCGAACGGG